UCCUUCAUUCCACCGGAGUCUGUCUCACUCCUAACCAGAUUUCAGUGGAGUGAAGUGCA
This 59-nucleotide microRNA precursor is filed under the name Microcaecilia unicolor. Its description in RNAcentral is "Mun-Mir-205-P4_pre stem-loop". It matches the Rfam family "mir-205 microRNA precursor family", at positions 9 to 68 of the family's 75-position model. The record is from RNAcentral. Lineage: Eukaryota; Metazoa; Chordata; Amphibia; Gymnophiona; Siphonopidae.